GACGAACCGUGCGAACGUUGUUCGGAAUCACUGGGCUUAAAGGGCGCGUAGGCGGGCUGGCAAGUCCGGGGUGAAAUACCGUCGGCUCAACCGGCGGACGGCCUGGGAUACUGCCGGCCUCGAGGCGGGUAGGGGCGGUGCGGAACUAUGGGUGGAGCGGUGAAAUGCGUUGAUAUCCAUAGGAACUCCGGUGGCGAAGGCGGCACGCUGGACCCGAAUCGUGACGCUGAGGCGCGAAAGCCAGGG
Molecule: ribosomal RNA, 246 nt
Filed under: uncultured bacterium
Lineage: Bacteria
Description: partial 16S ribosomal RNA
Rfam family: Bacterial small subunit ribosomal RNA
Source: RNAcentral